GUGUUUGACUAUUUCUCAAAGCACUGCUUGUGCAUUUUCUCAAUGGAUGCUUUCCAACAGCUCUUUCAGAAGAAGCCUGGUGGGAUGGUGAUUUAGUUCAGUGGUGUCACCGCCUGCCUCACAAGUACAAGGACCUGAGUUCAAUCCCUGGUACAAAAAAAAAAAAAGAAGAAGCCUGAUGGAAAAGCUGAAGGACAGGUGAACAAGAUCACCUACAACUCUGAGCAUUUACUGGAUUUUUAUUUGGGAAAACUCUCAAUUGCUCUGAUCCUAACACCUCAUUGUAAAGUAUCAAGCAAGACAAUCGCAUCGUUUCCUCAGGAUCUAAAAACCUCACUUCCCUCAGUAUUUCACCACAUUUCCCUUCCUUUAAAUCACCAUGUAAGGACCAUCUCCUUCAUCAAACUGCUUCCUAGGCAGCCUUUACCUAGAACCUACACUACGGCAGUCACGAGACCAAGAACUGAGGUUCAUAUACAAAUAAGAUACAGGUGCUGUUUCCAAGAAACUCGCAGCCCAUGAGGGUACUGGACUGUGCCAUGUGCUCCGUCCUCUGAGAGAAGAAUGUCUACAGGUGUAAGUUUCCCAUCCUUAUAAUGACAACUGAGAUAAGUCGACUUGUAAAGAGAACUUUUCCAAGUUUCAGUCUAUGGCUGAUCUGUCCCAUUGUCGUGGGCCUGUCACAUCAGGGCCACGUGACAGAGCAAAACCCACUCACUUGAUACCUGGAAAAUGAAAAUAAAAGGAAGAAGGGUCUGGGUCUCACAGAUCUGGCCUAGCG
This 781-nucleotide long non-coding RNA is filed under the name Fukomys damarensis (Damara mole-rat). RNAcentral's name for it is "lncRNA (ENSFDAG00000027720.1)". The record is from RNAcentral. Lineage: Eukaryota; Metazoa; Chordata; Mammalia; Rodentia; Bathyergidae.